This 397-nucleotide ribosomal RNA is filed under the name uncultured bacterium. Its description in RNAcentral is "bacterial SSU rRNA". It matches the Rfam family "Bacterial small subunit ribosomal RNA", at positions 505 to 898 of the family's 1533-position model. The record is from RNAcentral.
GUGUCAGCAGCCGCGGUAACACGUAGGGAGCGAGCGUUGUCCGGAUUUAUUGGGCGUAAAGAGCUCGUAGGCGGUUCGGUAAGUUAGGUGUGAAAGCUCGAGGCUCAACCUCGAGAAGCCACCUAAUACUGCUGUGACUUGAGUCCGGUAGAGGAGUGUGGAAUUCCUGGUGUAGCGGUGAAAUGCGCAGAUAUCAGGAGGAACACCUACAGCGAAGGCAGCACUCUGGGCCGGUACUGACGCUGAGGAGCGAAAGCGUGGGGAGCGAACAGGAUUAGAUACCCUGGUAGUCCACGCCGUAAACGUUGGGCACUAGGUGUGGGGUCGAAUUAACCGAUUCCGUGCCGUAGCUAACGCAUUAAGUGCCCCGCCUGGGGAGUACGGCCGCAAGGCUAAA